RNAcentral lists this ribosomal RNA (510 nucleotides) under uncultured bacterium. Its description in RNAcentral is "partial 16S ribosomal RNA". It matches the Rfam family "Bacterial small subunit ribosomal RNA", at positions 28 to 523 of the family's 1533-position model. The record is from RNAcentral.
GACGAACGCUGGCGGCGUGCCUAAUACAUGCAAGUCGAGCGAAUGACGAGAAGCUUGCUUCUCUGAUUUAGCGGCGGACGGGUGAGUAACACGUGGGCAACCUGCCCUACAGAUCGGGAUAACUCAGGGAAACCUGGGCUAAUACCGGAUAAUCCUUCGAAUCACACGUUUUGAAGUUGAAAGGCGCUUCGGCGUCACUGUAGGAUGGGCCCGCGGUGCAUUAGCUAGUUGGUGGGGUGACGGCCUACCAAGGCAACGAUGCAUAGCCGACCUGAGAGGGUGAUCGGCCACAUUGGGACUGAGACACGGCCCAAACUCCUACGGGAGGCAGCAGUAGGGAAUCUUCCACAAUGGACGAAAGUCUGAUGGAGCAACGCCGCGUGAGUGAUGAAGGUUUUCGGAUCGUAAAACUCUGUUGUAAGGGAAGAACAAGUACGUUAGGAAAUGAACGUACCUUGACGGUACCUUAUUAGAAAGCCACGGCUAACUACGUGCCAGCAGCCGCGGUAA